RNAcentral lists this long non-coding RNA (12146 nucleotides) under Mytilus galloprovincialis (Mediterranean mussel). Lineage: Eukaryota; Metazoa; Mollusca; Bivalvia; Mytilida; Mytilidae. The record is from RNAcentral.
GUAAACAUGAGCACAUGUAAUUGAUAGAUUACGAGGUUUAUGGUCGGUCUUCAUCACCCUUGAUUGUAUCGUAGAAUUUAUAGGAAGAAUUUAUGUGGAUUUUAAGAUUUUGUAAAAUUCUUGGAUUUUAAAUCAGUGACUUAUUGUUGAUCAGCAGAUAUGGAAAGUAAGUUUGAUUUUUUUUUUUUUUUUUUUUUUCCAGAAAUUACAAAACAUGAUUACUGCAUGCUUUAGGUAGGAUUUUGUUUGUGAUGUGUAGAAGGACUUUUCUUAUGUAUACUAUUUUCUGUUGGUGCAAUCUAUAAAGAGAAAUGAAUUUUAUCUGAUAAGAGGACAAAAAUGAACUAUGGCAUCGAUGCACACAAUUUAUAAAUAUAUAACUGAAUUACAUAACUAAUAAACUGCAUGCAUUCAACCUCAGCAUAAUGCGUACUUUUAACAACACAAGUUUAUUAUUCGUAUGUUAAUAUUUUACCCAAUUUUACGAUUAUUUUUCACCAAUGAUAAACCAUGAGACAUUUAUGUUUGAUAUAACACAUGUUUUACUAUAAAUGUCAAUAUUUUACUAUAUAGUUGUACAAUAUGUUACCACAGAAACAAGAUGACAUCAAUACUUGGUCAUCAGCUGGUCUCCAUCAAGUUUAUAAACCUCAUUAUUCCUUUGUUAUUAGAGACAGACAUAAUAACAGUGUAUUGGGGAAUAACAUCAAUUUCUGUAUUUCUAAUAUUAAAGAUAUUAGAAGUUUUUUAAUGCACAUAAUUUUUAUUUCUAUUUUAUCAAUCAAAACAUCGUUUUGCAGGGUCCAAUAUCUUGCCCCAAAUUAAUCUAGUACUGAAGCCACUACACUCAUGUAAAGAAAUUGUUAUUCAUGACCAAAUACCAUAGAAAUUAACAGCCAUAGGUUUCAGAUUCAGAUUCAAUAUUUUAUUAAAGUCUCACCACUUGUAUAACAUUAUACAUUCCAAUAAACAUAUAAAACAUUGCGUAUAACAUGAAAUAUUGGAUAACAUUUAUAAAACAUAUUGUAUAUUAAAACUAACAGUAAAAUAUCAUUAGCUUAAAUACUAAAACAUGUACAAGUGCCAUUCUAUUAAGAAUUAUGAGAGACUAAUAUUAAAGGAUUAAUUAUAUACAAAAUUUAUACAAUUUUAAAACUACAUAUAUCUAAGAUUUAACAUAUAUCAUCAGCUAUAUACAAAUAAAAAAUUUGUUCUUCUACAUAAAAUGUUAUAGCAGGUUUUAGCAACUACCUGACAUAGUUCUUCGUUUCUGAAUAAAAAUAUAAACUUUUCGUCAAUAGACAAGUUAAAAAAUUGAUCGUUAUGUUUUACAGCUUUACUAUACAAUAUAUUUCCAUAGGUCACCGUGCGGCCUUUAAUAAUGAGCAAGGGCCAUACGGCACAAUUAGCUAUAAGUCCAAAUAAGCACACUAUCUACCUAUAUUUUUUUACAUGAUUCGAUAUUAUAGUGCAAUUCAAUUAAUUCAGUUUAACAUGUAAAAAAUAAAUCAUAUGAAUGAAGCAUUCAAGCCUUAGUGGUCAUCCUUUGACUUUAAUUAUAUACGCAAGAACUUAAAUACAAGUAAUUGAGAGGGAAAAUAUCUUUACAAAAAUGAUCGUUGAUGCCAAAGACUUUUCAAAUGAAUUUUCAAUUACUGACAGCAAGCUUCCGGCAAUGCAAUUGUUUUUAUUGAAGAUUUAUACAUUUUCAUACGUUAUAAAUAUUCAUUAGGUAUUGCCUUAUUGGAAUCACAUGAAUCUUAUGUGCUAGUUUUAAUAGUACAAGUCCUAAACACAGCCCUCAGCAAUAAAAUAAUAAUCUGUUAUCGACAGUCAUAAAAAUUCAAUAAAAUGAAGAUUACACACACAAUAAUGGACCCCAUGCAAUCUAUUUGUUUAACAUGUCCUGUUAGCCCUCGGGGUCCAAUAAAAUUAUGUACCUUGAGAAGAAAUAGUUAACCCUUCCUCGUCUUCCCUGUGUUUUAUGGUUUUUAUAUUUUGUUAAUUUUAUGUUUAUAAAUCAUUGACACGGUAUUUGUACAUUUAAUUCAAAACUGACAUAACAUUUUGUAGUAUCUAUAAAAGAAGAAAAAUUGACUCAUUUUUGUGAUGUUUUUCGUGUUUUUUAUUUUGAACUUUAUCACGAAAGGUCAUACGAAGGACAUUGAUAGAUAGGGGAAUUUAUGAUGAUGAAGUAAAUGCAUAUCGUGUCCUCGAACCAAGUGGACGUAAAAAUAUGGCGGGAAAGAUAUCUUUUUAUAAUUUACGACAACUAUGAGACGGUUAUGUGGUGUGGGUUUCUUUUCAAAGUACUAACAGAGAGAUUUGGAAAGAAAGGUCAAAUGGGCAUAAAGUCACAGGAUAAAUAAUUGCAAAAUUCGGUGCCGAAUUUGUGUAAGAAAUACGAAUAUGCGGGAAAAGGCUAUUUUAAAUUUGUCUUGCAAUUUUAUAUCAUAUAUCACAAAACCACAAUCAAAUAGCUAAAAUCGAGUGGUUAUCCUUUUACGGUGUCCUAUAAAAUUAAAUAUAAACGGGACAAAAAAAAGUCACAAUAUUUGUAGUAUAUAUAUCGGUAUUUACGAGAAGGGAGGGGAAAAUCAAUGAAUGAAACUUGCAUUUUUAAAUUAUAUAAAAUCAAAGAUUUCUUUUUGUAACGGAAGCUCAAGUCGAAAGGUUUUCUCCUCACAGUAUUGGCAGUUCUGUGGCGGAUUCAAUGGGGGGUCCGGUGGUUUAACCGUCCCUCUUUUUGGAGGCGAUCAAUACAUUUGAAUGUGCACAUAUGGCUGGACCCCCUUUUAAUCUAGGGUUGGGACCCUCCUUUUUAAAAAUGCUGGAUCGGCCGUUACUUUAUAAAAUGUUUCGAUAGGACAAAGGGUCACCGCAAACAACUUUUAAAUUUGGUUUUGGCUCCUGAACGUUUUGGUCAGAGUAUUUAGAAGAGCGUGUCUGGUAUAGAUUAGUCCCUUUGGUAUCAUUCGUCUCUCUUUUUAAGCUAUCAAAGGAUACAAUUGUAUUCAUAAAUGAGGGAAUCGCAGACAGUUUGGGGGAUAAAUUGUAAAGAAAUUGUAGGGUUUCAUUUUUGAGAGGAUCAUAUAUACCUAUAGCUUUCAAGUUGAGACCAUAACUUCUUGUCACUUGCAAAUAUGUAGAAGUCAUAAUGUUUGUAUAGCAGUUACGGGGAGUAUGUUGUCAAGUUUUGUUUAUUUACCAAUUAAGCUGUAAGAUUUAUUCAUUAAGUUGAUAACAAAUGCACAGUUAUUUUUCGACGAAUUAUUGUAAGUACUCGUUUUAUUUUAUUAAGUUAUAACACAGUAUUUUUUUUUUUUUUGGGGGGGGGGGGGGAAUAGCUAGAUUCACAACUAUCUGAGUGCGCACCUCACUCCAAUGCACAGGUACCACGAAUUCACAGUACUGGAUUCUCUACUGCAAAUAUACAUAUGAACGAACAGUUUUGUACUGUUAUGUAUUGUUUCAUUUAUGUAACGGACUGCAAAAAUGAGAUACAAAAUUAAUUUUUCAAAGUUGUAGCAAACAUUCAUCAUGUUCAUAUAUAUCCAAUUCGACCAAAAGGGAUAGAAUAUUACUCUAUGAACGUAGUUUGUUUUCGAGUAGAAAUUUAAUAACUAUCAGAAUCGAUAUAAGCUUCGGCUGGCUUUGAGUCAUUCAUACGAAUCUUCUUGCAGAGAAAUAACAAAUCGUAGUUUUACGCUUCCAAAAUUUGAAAAUAAAUUGAUGAUUUUUAAUCCUCUCGUAAAACAGCUUUUUUUCACAAAUGUAUAACCUCAUCUAAACGAACAACUCCAGUCUUAGAAUUAUAAGAUUUUGUAGAAUAGUACAUAAUGUUGAAAGGAAUAACCAUCCACAUUGGUCCCCCUCCCCUAACAAAAUAAAACCUUGUUUGACCGAGACGAUGCACAACUUAUUUUCCUCAGUUUUCAAAACCCAAUACAAUGUGUAAAUUUGUCCUCAAGUCAAGAGUUUCAAGUAUGCCAUUAUAGAUGAUUUUUCGUCUGAAUCAGAAUUGUCACUUGAUAAUGGUCUAAUCUCCCGCCCUCAUUGUCAGAACUAAUUGCUUGUUAUUCAUGUUCGAUUUAAGCGGGCUGUAUAAUUAACAUCUGGCGAAUUCGAUGGAGCCAAAGACCACUUUUCUUCAAAAAUGAAAAUUUAAAUGUCGAUUGUGUAGGGACAGAUGAUGUCAUUGUCGUCUGCUGAAAACCCGCACGUGGCUGUCGCGUGAGCUCUCAACAAUGCAGCUGGAUAGUCAUAUUUUUUUUAAUGCCAUACGAGUUGAACUUUAAAGUUCAAUUUCCUUUUUAUGUAGAAAUUUAGAUCAUAUAUUUCAAAGAAUUAAACAAAAAACGUCCAGUUUAAAUAAAAUAGUAAUUAAAGGUCAUUAGUGUAUUGAACAUUUUCGCCGUUAUAAUAAUAAUCAAUUGACCUCAGAUAAAUAGCAGCAUACCGGUACAUCUCUCUUUACCUUAAUCAGAAAUUAUGAAUGAAAUGAAUUUUACCUGUGGUAAUAAAAUACCGUUACCUGCACAGGUGUGAUCAGGUGUAAAAUCGUUAUCGUAUUCCAACAGGUAGAGAUAUUUCUAAGGCUUUGAUUACAAUCAACCAGAGAUACCUGUUUAUUGUCAAUCACAAUGGAAAGAAACCUUCUGAAGGAUGAUGUCGGAUUACCGUGACACAUAUUUUUUUUCUGUCAAGAAAUAAAUGAAUAAAUUAUCUAUCCCCUUUUACCUUUUAACAGUAAAUCUAUUUCACCCCUUUUUAAUCUGUGCGUUUUUAAGAAUAUUUUGACUAACAUUAUUAUAUGCUUAAUGUACAUAAAAUAGUAGGUGUAAAUAUUUUUAUUUUAGUGUUCUUUUACAUUAAUAAAUGGUUUUAGGACAACAAUUAUCUUUUAAGGAGUGUAUAUAUUCUAAUCUAGUCUGCUCCAUGUUUUUAAACAGCAAUAAAUAAAAAUUAAGGGAUUUUUUUAUACCGUGUGACACGGGUGCUCCGUUGCGGAGGAAUUUACUUAGAGAAGAAAGACACAAUUAUGAUAGGGUAUUAACUAUGUUAUCAUAUUGUAUUAAUUGAUUAUAAUUAUGACAGAGAUGAAAUAUGAUUGACAGGUAAUUCAGAUCGUGCGAAUUAUAGCGCACUGUGCACAUGCAGAACUCGUAAAGAAAUAAAGAUAAAUAUAUAUAUAUAUAUAAACAACAAAAUGAAAUACAUGGAUAGAAAAAUAUAAAUCCUUGUAACAAUUUGAUAUAAUUAUACAGACAGAAGUUAAAUUUGAAAUAGAAAACCAAUUUUUACACGUCCCUUUGUAUAUGACAAACAAUCCCAUGGUGCCAGCACGAACCUGCAGCUUAAAGCAAUGUAAAAGAUGACCUUUUAAAAUAAUUAUUAUAAAAUGUAAUUAUAUUAGGGUUUGAAUUUCCACUGAUACGCUUCCAUUAGAGAUAUAACAAAAGAUCGAUGGAGAGACAAAGAGAGAACAAAGAAGACAUGAAAAGACAAACAUCAUCAUGUUAAACAAAUGUUACUGAUAGUUAUAAUUACAAAAUUAAAUUGACGGAAUAGAACACGUAAACUUGACCAUCUGUACAUAGAAUUAUUAGUCAGAAUAGUUUGUUUGAUAAAUGUAGGGAAAAAGGGGGGUACUGAUAGAAAUAAUUACAAAUUAAAUUGACGACGGAAGAGGACACGUAAACUUGACCAUCUGUACAUAGAAUUAUUAGUCAGAAUAAUUUGUAUGGUAAAAUUUAAGGCCAGGUUCUUUUAUAGUUUUUUGUUAAAAAUUGUUUUUCACACCAUACAAAGUUUCAUUAUUUGUUUAUGCUUUAAAUGUCUAAUUGUUCGAUUUGUCACUUAAUUGUGUGAUGAUUCAGGAUGACAACUUUAAAAAUUGUUCACAAAAAAAGAAAAUCAAUAAUUUCCUAUAUUUAAAUUUAAAAUUUUGUAAGAAGCAGAAAUAGCAAACAAAAUUUAUAAAAAGUUUGAAACGGGAAAACUGAAACAGAAUGUGAAAAAAAAAAUUCAGUCAUGUUACAAUUUUUUGUUUGAAAUUAUCCAAACGUUAAAUAACCCCUUUUAAGGUUUUAAUGGUAUCGUUUGAAUUAAGUCAUCUUUUAAAACGGAAUCCAUAAAUGCAUGGCAGAUGAUAUCUGUAUAUUAUCAUUCUUCGGCUCAAAAUAAAUUAUUGGCUUACGGUGUCAUGUUAGUUUAUGCUUAAGCAACCCCUAUGCAACCAAUCAUAUUUUUGUCGGAGGGGUAGGAACAAGAAAUACUCCUUGACGAAUUUAUUGUUCACCGUGUGAGUUUCACUCUUCCUUUCUGAAACAAAUAUUUGUUUUCAUGAAAUCGAAAAUCAUACAUUUAACCCCCGUACCUAAAAUAUGUAAUUUUUGUGAGUCGAUGCCUUAACGGUGUUUUCAAUCUGAUAAUCUCUUUGAAGAACCUUGAAAAGGAAAUUGAAUAUAGGAUGUAAAGAAAGUAUCUAAAUGCAGACAUAUAUAUAUUUACAAAUAUAAGUGCUUUGAUGUGUGUCCUGUGACACCCAUCACUCCUAAGAGAUUACGCGUUCUCAUCUUACACAGAUAAGGCUGUCUAAACACCGGAUCUCCCAUCGGGUUCUGUUCCGGUUUGACAAGAUCCCAAGAGGGAACACACGAAUUAUCAUAUCUGCAUCAAAUAAAUCCGAUUAGCGUCCGGCAUUUGUCAUGCUGGGUACUAUAGAAGUUGUUUAUCUAAUUAGAGGCGUGUAAUAUUUCCGAGUCGGGUAGAUGAUAAAAUCAAUAAACGGACUUCUUUAGAAUUAGUAUUAUUUGAUUUGCGAGAGGAGGAAGAUGUGUGUAAAAUAGUUAGGAGUUUAUACGUUGACGUAUUUUCGUAUUUUUCAACGGCUGCUUGUGACAUAACAAAAAUGACAGCUUUCACGGGUAAGAAUUUAAUAAUUUACUUCAUUGUAUAAAGUAAAAUGUUUUAAAUGUAAAUCAACUAAGGUUAUUCUAUAUUGGUAUUUUGUGAUAAUGAAAAUUACUAAUUAAUCAGUUAAAACAGUUAAUAUUUGUAUUCAUGUUGCUGACAAUCUUCAAACACCAUCUUCUAAGCCAUUUCAAGGUAUAACCGAACAUUAUCAAAUCAAAUAAUAAUUAAAAAGAAACAAUGACCAAAAAAUCAUUUAAAAUAUUUUAUAUAGUAUACUGAAGUAUUCCUUUCUCAUGUUUAUGUUUACGUGUACAUUGUUAUAAUCUGAAUAUUUUAGAACUGAAAGUUCAUUGUAAUAACUUUAUUUGGAGAAGACGGUCCUUUGAAACGAUUAUAUAGUCACUUUUUUUGGCGACUUUGGUUACUAUUCUAACUUCUUAAUGUGUGAACUGUUAUCGUAGUAUACAAUAUGAAUAAUAAAGGUUUCUUAUCUGCUUUAUGCUUGAUAACAUUUUAUACUUCGAGUUAAACAUUAGAUAUCCUUGUGGUACCCAUUCGUAGAUACGAUAACAUUUUAUACUUCGAGCAUUAGAUAUCCUUGUGGUACCCAUUCGUAGAUAGAUAUUCGCAUUAGAUACUUGGUACCCAUUCUAUAUACAUAACAUUUAUACUUCGAGUUAAGCAUUAGAUAUCCUUGUGGUACCCAUUCUUAUUCCGUAUUUGGGUACCCAUUCUACUAUCGAGUUAAGCAUUAGGUUCCUUGGUACCCAUUCUGUACUUCGAGUUAAGCAUUAGAUAUCCUUGUGGUACCCAUUCUGUACUUCGAGUUAAGCAUUAGAUAUCCUUGUGGUACCCAUUCUGUACUUCGAGUUAAGCAUUAGAUAUCCUUGUGGUACCCAUUCUGUACUUCGAGUUAAGCAUUAGAUAUCCUUGUGGUACCCAUUCGUAGAUACGAUAACAUUUUAUACUUCGAGUUAAGCAUUAGAUAUCCUUGUGGUACCCAUUCGUAGAUACGGUAACGUUAUCUUAAGUCAAUCUAAAAAUCUAAGCCUAGAGCGAGUGAAGAAAUGUCUGUUGCAAUAAAACUAACAUGGUGUUAGUGGUAUUGGCUUGCCUAACGUUUACCUUCAAGAUAUGUCUACUUUGACCUUUAAUCAUGAUAAUGGUAUACUUUUACAAAUUGCGACUUGGAUGGAGAGUUGUCUCAUUGGCACUCAUACCACAUCUUCUUCUGUCUAUACUUGAACACCACUUAUCAAUAUAAGGAAGUAUUAGUUUGUACUGUAAUAUAUUGUAUAUCAUAUUCGCAAAAAAGCACUUCGAGAGACAAAUGUAGAAGGUACAAUUGUGCAAGGGGGCCUCAUGAAGCUACAUUUAUGGUUAUUGAUAUUUCACAGUGUAAGAAACGUAAUAAAUCUGCAUGUAGUGCGUAAAGCAGAAUACUGAAUGUAAACUACUGAGAUUUAUAAAUCAAGCCAAGACGUUGUAAUAGGACGACACUGCGACUGUAACAAGGUGUGAAAACAACCAUACAACUCGUGUUUACAGGAAUAUACUAUCAUGUUCUAGUUAUUCAUAAUGUCCUGUAUACAUUCUACAUCCAUUUGUCUUUUGAUUAUUUUGACUUAAAAUGUCAAUUUAACAUGACCAGACGCAGCCUUAUACAUGUUAUAUGAUUUGAAUUUAUUGUCCUCGUGAUUUUAUUAUUUUUUUUCUGAUAAUAUCUGAAGGCUAGCUCGAGUUAAAGUAUAAUGCCAUAGAUUGAUUGAUUGUUGUUCGCGUUCAUAUAGGCGGAUCUUUUUUUAAAGGGGCUCCCAACCCAUGCAGGAGAAAGGGGGUUCCAACUUUGCUAUAUCAUAUGUCCCAUUUAAAUGCAGUGUCCAACCCUCGGAAUCGUCCCGAUCCACCAAGGAUGUUAUUUACUUGCAACAAUUUUAUCUAAAAAAAUUGUCUAUGACAAAUUAAAAAGAUCAUUUCUGCAUAGCCAUUUAAGGGAUUGUUUUUGGAAAAAUGAAUGAAACUAUAGGUUUCUAUUUUUCAGAGUCGAUUAUUUAGAGGAGGGGAAGGCUAGGAUUUCUGUGACAAAUAUACAUAGCUUAUCAAUAUGAUAAACCUGUCUGGUGCUUGUGUAAUAUUUACAUUAAUAAUUAAAUACACUAAUCAUUUGAGUAUGCUAACAUGUUGUGUUAUCAUGUUGAUUUGUGUAAUAAGGAUUUACUGAUGUAACACGUGGGUGUUCGAUAAAUCAAAAGAUUUCCUAUUGAUCGACAAAGAUACGUUUUAACGACAUAUCAAGGUUAAGAUACAUGUUAAUCUUUUAACAACUUUCAAAAAAUAAGUUCGAACAAGUUUUAAAAAAAGUAGGGAAUCUGUACAUAUUUGAUUUUUGAUAAUAUGUAUAUAAGUUAGGCCGUUAGUUGAUCUCAUUUAGGGGCCCUUUAUAGCUGACUAUGCGGUACGGGCUUCGCUCAUUGUUGAAGAUAGUACUGUGACCUCUGUGUCGUUUGGUGUCUUGUGGAGAGUUGUCUCAUUGGCAGUCAUACCACACCUUCUUUUUUAAAUGAUGUAGAAAAGUUGGGUAUAUUUUUAUUUCUCAAGUGCAUAGCAACAUGACAAAGGCUUGUCUAAGAAACAGAGUAAGACGAAUUCAUGACAAAUAAGUCUAUAAAACAAGUAUGAGACGACGUUUGAGACAACUGCUAUCAGAAAGAGUAUAAAGAUCUAGUCAAAAGCGGCGAGAUCUUUAUUUUUAACAUUUCCAUGGCUGAAAAUCUAGAAAAAAAACUCCAAAUGAAUGUUCAAAUGUUGCCAGAUUCACACAAUAAUGUUUGUCCCAUAAGUAUCCUUUAGCAUCUACAAUAGGGAAAUUACCAUUAAACAAACUUGAAAUUAUCGGUUUUCUAACAUAUAUAAAGAAUAAAACGUUGGUGCAAUAUGAGGAGCAGGAACUGCCUACCCUUCCGAAGCAAAUAGACUCCGGCUCUCAGUCACCGUCUUAUUUUUAUGUGAACCUGUUUGUCUAUUUAAGGAGGUUAUAUGAAACCCAUUUUUUGGUCAUAAGAAUGUACAUAAACUCAUCAUAGAUACCGCAGGACUAAAUUUAAUAUAUACGCCAGACGCGCGUUUCGUCUACAAAAGACUCAUCAGUGACGCUCGAAUCCAAAAAAGUUAAAAAGGCCAAAUAAAGUACGAAGUUGAAGAGCAUUGAGGACCAAAAUUCCUAAAAGUUUUGCCAAAUACAGCUAAGGUAAUCUAUGCCUGACGGUAGAAAAGCCUUAGUAUUUCAAAAAAUUCAAAAAUUUGUAAACAGUAAAUUUAUAAAUAUAACCAUAUCAAUGACAAUUCAUGUCAGCGCAAAAAACAAUUCAUGGAAUAACGAAAAAAAAAAGAUAUUUGAGAAGCUUUUGAGUCACAAAAUACAUGUGAUAAAUAUCAUAUAUUAAACGUUGAAGCUCUGUUGCUCACAAAUGAUGAAUACAAACAGCUAUUGAUUGACAUUUUAUAUUUUCUUCUUGUAAAUUUGCACAUUAAAGGUUAAAACAGCACAUAAAUAUAAAGCAUUGGGAAUAUUUCCAAACUUCAACCAUCUGCCAUAUUUUUACAGACUCAGACUGCUAUUUUAUAGUUCCUAAACAUGUCAAGCAUUGCGACCUAUUGCUAUGUUGUCGUGAAAAAUGCAAUACACAUCUUUGUUAUACGAGUCUUAUAUAUUCAGCAACGAUUAAACUAAAUUGUGGUCUAGUUUGAAAUUAUUAAUGGCAAUAAGCGUGCUUAAGAAAUUUAAUGUGAAAACUAUUUAGGAGAUUAAUUAGAUUUUAUUGACUGUCCAAUUUGUGGAAAGAUGUGUAAAGAUAUCCAUCUGGAGAGUGACAGAUGGCGGAUUGUACAGAUGAUGUUAAAAUUAUAAAUUCAAAUGCGAAUAUAUAAAACUGGGUACUGUAAUAUAUUAAAAUAAAACAUUUGCUACGUCCAAAGCGCGUUCUGGUUUACUCGUUUGAAUGGUUUGACACUAGUCUUUAUAUGAAACCCUGUAUAGCUUGCUGUUCGGUGUGAGCUAAGGCUCCGCGUUGAAAACCGUCCUUUGACCUAUAAUGGUUAACUUUUAUAAAUAAUGACGUGGAUGGAGAAUUGUCUCGUUGGCACUCAUACCACAUCUUCUUAAAUCUAAUGAGGAACCCUUAAACCCCAAAAAUUGAAAACCAUUGAUGUUAAAAUACAUAAAUUUAACACGUCAAAAGCUGUAUGACCAAAAGAAAUAGUCAAAUCAAAUUUGCCAGAGGGAGUUAAAACUUGUUUUUCUUAAUAAUUCAUAAAUUUAUUAACAUAGAAUUUAUAAAUAAUCUUCUAUAUUAAAACUGGGACUAUUGUGUAAGUCCAAGAUCAAAAUAAAUCAUUCACACUCUUCAAAAUUUAUUACCGUGUUAAAACUGUCAUCAGAUCAUGUUUAAAAAUAGAUAAAAUAAAAAUUGAAAGAUAUAUGAACUUAUUAAUAAGUUUGCUAAUUACGCCUCGUUUUCUUAACAAUAUUUGAAAGCUUCGAGGCUAAAACAUCGGUCUGAUGUUGAUUUAUUAUCUGUGCAUAAACUCUUAUGCAAUAUUAUGAUUUUAAAGCGAUUAAGGUACAGAUAAAGGCCGACGAAUUCCAGAUGAUCGAACGUUUGGACCCCUUAGGCUAUUGAGGGUGUAUACGAUUUUAAACUUGAUGACAGGAUGAUAUAUGAAAUUUAUCUGUUUUUGUACAAAUUCCCCAGGACCCAAUCAUAGUGUACAUAUAUUUUUAUGCGGGAGGGUGCAUUUUACUAAAGUUAAAUUCAUACGUUUGGAUUUUCCAAAGCAACAGUUCAAUAUUUUGAAGGAGAAAUUUAAGGAUAUACUAGUUUUUCAUUGUGUUUUUCCAUUGAGAAAAAAACAUUUUUCUAAACAUUACGGUACCACACAGUGAAUAUUCCAACAGUGAACAUCGAAAGUUAAAAAAAAACCACACAACAAAAGCACCUUAUUGCGACGACUAUAGCUCCUUUGAUAAUAUCUGUAUAGAUAUCGUCAAAUAUUCAAUACCAGUAGAUAGAUCUAUCGUCUGUUAAUUGAUAUUAAGAUACAUGUGCUGAGAUUAUUUCAUAUUCUCAUUUGUGCUGAUUCAUCAAUUCAUGUGAGAAAGUUAAUUAAGAAAAUGGCAUCAUUAAAUCUUUUAGGACUGACCACUACCAUGUUGCCUAGCAACGGAACAG